UACGUAGGUGGCAAGCGUUGUCCGGAUUUACUGGGCGUAAAGGAUGCGUAGGUGGAUAUUUAAGUGAGAUGUGAAAUACCCGAGCUUAACUUGGGUGCUGCAUUUCAAACUGGAUAUCUAGAGUGCAGGAGAGGUAAGUGGAAUUCCUAGUGUAGCGGUGAAAUGCGUAGAGAUUAGGAAGAACACCAGUGGCGAAGGCGACUUACUGGACUGUAACUGACACUGAGGCAUGAAAGCGUGGGUAGCAAACAGG
This 253-nucleotide ribosomal RNA is filed under the name uncultured bacterium. RNAcentral's name for it is "partial 16S ribosomal RNA". It matches the Rfam family "Bacterial small subunit ribosomal RNA", at positions 524 to 776 of the family's 1533-position model. The record is from RNAcentral.